UAUGGGAUAGCUAUUGGAAACGAUAAGUAAUACCAUAUAUUCCCUACGGGGGAAAGAUUUAUCGCUAUUAGAUGAGCCUACGUUAGAUUAGCUAGUUGGUGGGGUAAAGGCCUACCAAGGCUAUGAUCUAUAGCUGGUUUGAGAGGAUGAUCAGCCACACUGGAACUGAGAUACGGUCCAGACUCCUACGGGAGGCAGCAGUGAGGAAUAUUGGACAAUGGGCGAAAGCCUGAUCCAGCCAUGCCGCAUGAGUGAAGAAGGCCUUAGGGUUGUAAAACUCUUUUAGUGGGGAAGAUAAUGACGGUACCCACAGAAGAAGUCCCGGCAAACUCCGUGCCAGCAGCCGCGGUAAUACGGAGGGGGCUAGCGUUGUUCGGAAUUAUUGGGCGUAAAGAGCACGUAGGCGGUUCGGUAAGUUAAAAGUUAAAUACCAAGGCUCAACCUUGGGAAUGCUUUUAAUACUGCUGAACUAGAGAUCGAA
RNAcentral lists this ribosomal RNA (481 nucleotides) under uncultured Anaplasmataceae bacterium. Its description in RNAcentral is "bacterial SSU rRNA". It matches the Rfam family "Bacterial small subunit ribosomal RNA", at positions 137 to 652 of the family's 1533-position model. The record is from RNAcentral. Lineage: Bacteria; Pseudomonadati; Pseudomonadota; Alphaproteobacteria; Rickettsiales; Anaplasmataceae.